Molecule: non-coding RNA, 686 nt
Filed under: Chiropterargas boueti
Lineage: Eukaryota; Metazoa; Arthropoda; Arachnida; Ixodida; Argasidae
Source: RNAcentral
AUAAUUAUAUAGUAAUUAAUAUUUAAAUUUAAUAGUACUUUAUGCAAAAAAUUUAAUAUACAAUUGCAGAAGAUUAAUUUUGUAAAUUUAUAUAAUAAAGACUUUUAUUAAUUUCCGGCAAGUCUGUGCCAGCAGCCGCGGUAAUACAGGCGGAGAAAAAAUAUUUAUUUAAAAUUAAUAUAAAAUGAAAAUUAGAGUAAGUUACAAAGAGGUGAAAUUUUUGUAAUAAGAAAAUAUUUAGAAUUAUAUGAAUAUGAGUUUUUAAACCAGGAUUAGAUACCCUGUUAUUAUUUAUAAAUAUAGUGAGUAUAAUAAUUGUUAUAAAGCUAAGUAUAAUGGCAGUAUAUUAAUCUUUUUAGAGGAAUUUAUUCUAUUAUCGAUAUAACACGAAUAUCUUACUUAUUAUUGUUAAUACAGUUUGUAUAUCGCUAUCAUACAAUUAUAUAGAUUUAUGAUGAUUUUAAUUUAUUUUUUUAAAAAAUGUUAGGUCAAAAUGCAGCAUAAAAAUAAGGUUGAAAUGAAUUACUGUAAUUUAUAUUAGUUUUUAUUGAAAAUAUAAUUAGGAUUUAAUAGUAAAGUAAAAUUAUGAUGUUUACUUGAAUAUAGUUUUAGUAUAUGUACAUAUUGCCCGUCACUCUCAUUUUUGAGAAAAGUCGUAACAAAGUAAAUCUACCGGAAGGUGGCUU